This 2754-nucleotide ribosomal RNA is filed under the name Salmonella enterica subsp. enterica. RNAcentral describes it as "partial 23S ribosomal RNA". It matches the Rfam family "Bacterial large subunit ribosomal RNA". Lineage: Bacteria; Pseudomonadati; Pseudomonadota; Gammaproteobacteria; Enterobacterales; Enterobacteriaceae. The record is from RNAcentral.
GGUGGAUGCCCUGGCAGUCAGAGGCGAUGAAGGGCGUGCUAAUCUGCGAUAAGCGCCGGUAAGGUGAUAUGAACCGUUAUAACCGGCGAUACCCGAAUGGGGAAACCCAGUGUGAUUCGUCACACUAUCAUUAACUGAAUCCAUAGGUUAAUGAGGCGAACCGGGGGAACUGAAACAUCUAAGUACCCCGAGGAAAAGAAAUCAACCGAGAUUCCCCCAGUAGCGGCGAGCGAACGGGGAGGAGCCCAGAGCCUGAAUCAGCAUGUGUGUUAGUGGAAGCGUCUGGAAAGGCGCGCGAUACAGGGUGACAGCCCCGUACACAAAAGCGCAUGUGCUGUGAGCUCGAUGAGUAGGGCGGGACACGUGGUAUCCUGUCUGAAUAUGGGGGGACCAUCCUCCAAGGCUAAAUACUCCUGACUGACCGAUAGUGAACCAGUACCGUGAGGGAAAGGCGAAAAGAACCCCGGCGAGGGGAGUGAAAAAGAACCUGAAACCGUGUACGUACAAGCAGUGGGAGCACCCUUUGGGUGUGACUGCGUACCUUUUGUAUAAUGGGUCAGCGACUUAUAUUCUGUAGCAAGGUUAACCGAAUAGGGGAGCCGGAGGGAAACCGAGUCUUAACCGGGCGUUAAGUUGCAGGGUAUAGACCCGAAACCCGGUGAUCUAGCCAUGGGCAGGUUGAAGGUUGGGUAACACUAACUGGAGGACCGAACCGACUAAUGUUGAAAAAUUAGCGGAUGACCUGUGGCUGGGGGUGAAAGGCCAAUCAAACCGGGAGAUAGCUGGUUCUCCCCGAAAGCUAUUUAGGUAGCGCCUCGUGAAUUCAUCUCCGGGGGUAGAGCACUGUUUCGGCUAGGGGGCCAUCCCGGCUUACCAACCCGAUGCAAACUGCGAAUACCGGAGAAUGUUAUCACGGGAGACACACGGCGGGUGCUAACGUCCGUCGUGAAGAGGGAAACAACCCAGACCGCCAGCUAAGGUCCCAAAGUCAUGGUUAAGUGGGAAACGAUGUGGGAAGGCCCAGACAGCCAGGAUGUUGGCUUAGAAGCAGCCAUCAUUUAAAGAAAGCGUAAUAGCUCACUGGUCGAGUCGGCCUGCGCGGAAGAUGUAACGGGGCUAAACCAUGCACCGAAGCUGCGGCAGCGACACUGUGUGUUGUUGGGUAGGGGAGCGUUCUGUAAGCCUGUGAAGGUGUGUCGUGAGGCAUGCUGGAGGUAUCAGAAGUGCGAAUGCUGACAUAAGUAACGAUAAAGCGGGUGAAAAGCCCGCUCGCCGGAAGACCAAGGGUUCCUGUCCAACGUUAAUCGGGGCAGGGUGAGUCGACCCCUAAGGCGAGGCCGAAAGGCGUAGUCGAUGGGAAACGGGUUAAUAUUCCCGUACUUGGUGUUACUGCGAAGGGGGGACGGAGAAGGCUAUGUUGGCCGGGCGACGGUUGUCCCGGUUUAAGCGUGUAGGUGUGUGUUCCAGGUAAAUCCGGUUCACUUUAACACUGAGGCGUGACGACGAGGCACUACGGUGCUGAAGCAACAAAUGCCCUGCUUCCAGGAAAAGCCUCUAAGCAUCAGGUAACAUCAAAUCGUACCCCAAACCGACACAGGUGGUCAGGUAGAGAAUACCAAGGCGCUUGAGAGAACUCGGGUGAAGGAACUAGGCAAAAUGGUGCCGUAACUUCGGGAGAAGGCACGCUGACACGUAGGUGAAGUGAUUUACUCAUGGAGCUGAAGUCAGUCGAAGAUACCAGCUGGCUGCAACUGUUUAUUAAAAACACAGCACUGUGCAAACACGAAAGUGGACGUAUACGGUGUGACGCCUGCCCGGUGCCGGAAGGUUAAUUGAUGGGGUCAGCGCAAGCGAAGCUCCUGAUCGAAGCCCCGGUAAACGGCGGCCGUAACUAUAACGGUCCUAAGGUAGCGAAAUUCCUUGUCGGGUAAGUUCCGACCUGCACGAAUGGCGUAAUGAUGGCCAGGCUGUCUCCACCCGAGACUCAGUGAAAUUGAACUCGCUGUGAAGAUGCAGUGUACCCGCGGCAAGACGGAAAGACCCCGUGAACCUUUACUAUAGCUUGACACUGAACAUUGAGCCUUGAUGUGUAGGAUAGGUGGGAGGCUUUGAAGUGUGGACGCCAGUCUGCAUGGAGCCGACCUUGAAAUACCACCCUUUAAUGUUUGAUGUUCUAACGUGGACCCGUUACCCGGGUUGCGGACAGUGUCUGGUGGGUAGUUUGACUGGGGCGGUCUCCUCCUAAAGAGUAACGGAGGAGCACGAAGGUUGGCUAAUCCUGGUCGGACAUCAGGAGGUUAGUGCAAUGGCAUAAGCCAGCUUGACUGCGAGCGUGACGGCGCGAGCAGGUGCGAAAGCAGGUCAUAGUGAUCCGGUGGUUCUGAAUGGAAGGGCCAUCGCUCAACGGAUAAAAGGUACUCCGGGGAUAACAGGCUGAUACCGCCCAAGAGUUCAUAUCGACGGCGGUGUUUGGCACCUCGAUGUCGGCUCAUCACAUCCUGGGGCUGAAGUAGGUCCCAAGGGUAUGGCUGUUCGCCAUUUAAAGUGGUACGCGAGCUGGGUUUAGAACGUCGUGAGACAGUUCGGUCCCUAUCUGCCGUGGGCGCUGGAGAACUGAGGGGGGCUGCUCCUAGUACGAGAGGACCGGAGUGGACGCAUCACUGGUGUUCGGGUUGUCAUGCCAAUGGCACUGCCCGGUAGCUAAAUGCGGAAGAGAUAAGUGCUGAAAGCAUCUAAGCACGAAACUUGCCCCGA